RNAcentral lists this microRNA precursor (107 nucleotides) under Canis lupus familiaris (dog). Its description in RNAcentral is "mir-8834 microRNA precursor family". It matches the Rfam family "mir-8834 microRNA precursor family". Lineage: Eukaryota; Metazoa; Chordata; Mammalia; Carnivora; Canidae. RNAcentral also lists the same sequence under 1 other name. The record is from Rfam by way of RNAcentral.
UGGAGGAACAACCCCAGUGGCGGCGGUCAGCUCUGGAGUCCUGGAUUCAGCUUCCACAGUAACUACGGAGCCCUCUGUCUGCAGGGGCCUGGAGGCUCCAGGGGCGG